AUUUAAAUAGCUUAAAGUUAGAGUGUAAUAUUGAAGAUAUUAAGGUAGUGAAGAUUUUUAAAUA
RNAcentral lists this transfer RNA (64 nucleotides) under Dendrocerus sp. ZJUH_2016009. Its description in RNAcentral is "tRNA-Phe". Lineage: Eukaryota; Metazoa; Arthropoda; Insecta; Hymenoptera; Megaspilidae. The record is from RNAcentral.